This 374-nucleotide ribosomal RNA is filed under the name Petrosia (Strongylophora) sp. H GPM-2011. Its description in RNAcentral is "eukaryotic LSU rRNA". It matches the Rfam family "Eukaryotic large subunit ribosomal RNA", at positions 24 to 352 of the family's 3401-position model. The record is from RNAcentral. Lineage: Eukaryota; Metazoa; Porifera; Demospongiae; Haplosclerida; Petrosiidae.
UAGGUCGACCGCUGAACUUAAGCAUAUCAAUAAGCGGAGGAAGAGAAACCAACAGGGAUUCCCUCAGUAACGGCGAGCGAAGUGGGAAGGCAACCCAGAUCUGAAAUCUCUGGCCCGGUUUACAAAKGAAGGCCGGCGAAUUGUGGUCUGUAGAGACGGGCUGUCCCGGUCCACCGUUCCCCAGUGGUGGGCCCGAAGUCGACUUGGAACGGCGUGCCUGAGAGGGUGAGAGCCCCGUAGGGCAAGGAAACCGGGGACGGCGGGACGAGAGUCCGUGCUCGUAGAGUCGGGUUGUUUGAGAUUGCAGCCCAAAGCGGGUGGUAGACUCCAUCCAAGGGUGAAUACCUGUGCGAGUCCGAUAGCAGACAAGUACC